This 245-nucleotide ribosomal RNA is filed under the name uncultured bacterium. RNAcentral describes it as "partial small subunit ribosomal RNA". It matches the Rfam family "Bacterial small subunit ribosomal RNA", at positions 26 to 285 of the family's 1533-position model. The record is from RNAcentral.
AGAAUCAACGCUGGCGGCGUGCCUAACACAUGCAAGUCGAACGAGAAAGUGGAGCAAUCCAUGAGUAAAGUGGCGCACGGGUGAGUAACACGUGACUAACCUACCCAGGAGUGGGGGAUAACUGAGGGAAACCUUAGCUAAUACCGCAUAAUACCUACGGGUCAAAGGAGCAAUUCGCUUCUGGAGGGGGUCGCGGCCGAUUAGUUAGUUGGCAGGGUAAUGGCCUACCAAGACGAUGAUCGGUA